GUGGCGAACGGGUGAGUAAUAUCUCGGAACCUACCCUAGAGUGGGGGAUAACGUACCGAAAGUUACGCUAAUACCGCAUACGAUCUAAGGAUGAAAGUGGGGGAUCGCAAGACCUCAUGCUCGUGGAGCGGCCGAUAUCUGAUUAGCUAGUUGGUAGGGUAAAAGCCUACCAAGGCAUCGAUCAGUAGCUGGUCUGAGAGGACGACCAGCCACACUGGAACUGAGACACGGUCCAGACUCCUACGGGAGGCAGCAGUGGGGAAUUUUGGACAAUGGGCGAAAGCCUGAUCCAGCAAUGCCGCGUGAGUGAAGAAGGCCUUCGGAUUGUAAAGCUCUUUUGUCAGGGAAGAAACGGUGAGAGCUAAUAUCUUUUGCUAAUGACGGUACCUGAAGAAUAAGCACCGGCUAACUACGUGCCAGCAGCCGCGGUAAUACGUAGGGUGCAAGCGUUAAUCGGAAUUACUGGGCGUAAAGCGUGCGCAGGCGGUUUUGUAAGUCUGAUGUGAAAUCCCCGGGCUCAACCUGGGAAUUGCAUUGGAGACUGCAAGGCUAGAAUCUGGCAGAGGGGGGUAGAAUUCCACGUGUAGCAGUGAAAUGCGUAGAUAUGUGGAGGAACACCGAUGGCGAAGGCANCCCCCUGGGUCAAGAUUGACGCUCAUGCACGAAAGCGUGGGGAGCAAACAGGAUUAGAUACCCUGGUAGUCCACGCCCUAAACGAUGUCUACUAGUUGUCGGGUCUUAAUUGACUUGGUAACGCAGCUAACGCGUGAAGUAGACCGCCUGGGGAGUACGGUCGCAAGAUUAAAACUCAAAGGAAUUGACGGGGACCCGCACAAGCGGUGGAUGAUGUGGAUUAAUUCGAUGCAACGCGAAAAACCUUACCUACCCUUGACAUGGCUGGAAUCCUUGAGAGAUCAGGGAGUGCUCGAAAGAGAGCCAGUACACAGGUGCUGCAUGGCAGUUGUCANCUCGUGUCGUGAGAUGUUGGGUUAAGUCCCGCACCGAGCGCAACCCUUGUCAUUAGCUGGUAAGAAAGGGCACUCUAAUGAGACUGCCGGUGACAAACCGGAGGAAGGUGGGGAUGACGUCAAGUCCUCAUGGCCCUUAUGGGUAGGGCUUCACACGUCAUACAAUGGUACAUACAGAGCGCCGCCAACCCGCGAGGGGGAGCUAAUCGCAGAAAGUGUAUCGUAGUCCGGAUUGUAGUCUGCAACUCGACUGCAUGAAGUUGGAAUCGCUAGUAAUCGCGGAUCAGCAUGUCGCGGUGAAUACGUUCCCGGGUCUUGUACACACCGCCCGUCACA
This 1304-nucleotide ribosomal RNA is filed under the name Oxalobacteraceae bacterium Gu-R-32. RNAcentral describes it as "bacterial SSU rRNA". It matches the Rfam family "Bacterial small subunit ribosomal RNA", at positions 95 to 1401 of the family's 1533-position model. The record is from RNAcentral. Lineage: Bacteria; Pseudomonadati; Pseudomonadota; Betaproteobacteria; Burkholderiales; Oxalobacteraceae.